CUAAUCAUCAUGAAGCAAAGAAUCCACAGCUGAGCAGGACCGAUUGAAAAAAAGGGCUGCCUACCAGUCCCUGCACCUCAUAUAAUUGUACAACAUACUGGCUCAGCUGCCCUGGUUCUCCGUGCCACCUAAAAGAAAUCCAUAAAGAAAAAAACACUUUCACAGGCAAAGCAAUUUCUUUCUAAAUCAGCCAGAUGAGCUGAGGUCUUAACUGAUGGAAGCUUUCUUCAUUGGAAUUUGUACCAAGGGUAGAUUUGUAUGGUACAUUGUCACUUAUAAAACUAUCUGCAUGAAACAAGUCAAAACUUUUCUUUGCUCUCACGGAACUCACCCUUUUCCCUGUGGUGCAACAAAAUCAAGCUUUCUCCUCCCAGGUGAGAAGACCUGGCAGCU
Long non-coding RNA from Dermochelys coriacea (leatherback sea turtle), 393 nucleotides. RefSeq lists it as uncharacterized. The record is from RefSeq and is a predicted model, not a curated record. The transcript is spliced from 3 exons. NCBI's taxonomy places the organism in Eukaryota, Metazoa, Chordata, Testudines, Dermochelyidae.